Molecule: non-coding RNA, 136 nt
Organism: Hordeum vulgare subsp. vulgare (domesticated barley)
Lineage: Eukaryota; Viridiplantae; Streptophyta; Magnoliopsida; Poales; Poaceae
Source: Rfam
UUACUACUCCCUUCAUCCUAAAAUUCUUGUCUUAGAUUUGUGUAGAUAUGAAUGUAUUUAAUCAUGUUUUAGUAUUUAGAUACAUUUAUUUCUAGACAAACCUAAGACAAGAAUUUUGAGACGGAAGGAGCGCAUG